Molecule: ribosomal RNA, 254 nt
Filed under: uncultured beta proteobacterium
Lineage: Bacteria; Pseudomonadati; Pseudomonadota; Betaproteobacteria
Description: partial 16S ribosomal RNA
Rfam family: Bacterial small subunit ribosomal RNA
Source: RNAcentral
UGACGAGUUUGAUCCUGGCUCAGAUUGAACGCUGGCGGAAUGCUUUACACAUGCAAGUCGAACGGCAGCACGAGAGCUUGCUCUUGGUGGCGAGUGGCGAACGGGUGAGUAAUAUAUCGGAACGUAUCCAAUAACUGGGGGAUAACUAAUCGAAAGGUUAGCUAAUACCGCAUGCGCCCUACGGGGGAAAGCAGGGGAUCUUCGGACCUUGCGUUAAUGGAGCGGCUGAUAUCUGAUUAGCUAGUUGGUGAGGU